CUUAGCGCCGCAGCUGAUUUCCUACGCUCUGUCUGCUGCCUUGACGAGCAACAAGUCUUCGUCUUCCUUCCACACCACACCACCCCGCCUCACUCCCACCCCACUGCUCGCUGCCUUUAGAACCGCCGGAUCGGCACCUCGCGCCGCCAAUCCAGGCCGGCCGCUGCUCCCCCGACCUCGAGUGGGAGCAGAGCAAAAUGGGUGGAAGACUAGCAUCCUUUUGGGAACAAUGGAACAUCCAGAUUCUGGUGAUCCUGAGCUUCGCCCUGCAAGUCCCCCUCCUCUUCUGUGCAGGGAUCCGGCGUAGUCGUAAAGCCUCGGCUGUAUUGUCAAUUCUCCUCUGGCUGGCGUACCUGAUGGCCGACUACACCGCGAUCUAUGCCCUUGGCCACAUGUCCAUCAGUAUGAGCAGAUCUCCUCCACGCGACCUUCACCAGCACCAGAUGGUGCCAUUCUGGGCUCCCUUCCUGUUGCUUCACCUUGGUGGGCCGGACACCAUCACCGCCUACGACUUCCAGGACAACCAGCUCUGGCUGCGCCACUUGCUCACCCUCGCGGCGCAGGUGCUUGGCGCCGCCUAUGUCGUGUACCUGUUCGUCGCGGCCGGGAACCCAGCUGGGACGCUGCUCGCCGCUGCUGCGUCGAUGUUCGUCACCGGCUGCAUCAAGUACGGCGAGAGGACGUGGGCUCUCAAGUGUGGCGGCAUCGACAGCAUCGCCAGCUCUCUUCAUGACGGCAAGCCGUCGGCCACCGCUGGUCCUUACCAUGCGAGGGAGGAGGGAAAGAGGCUAGAAACGGAGGAGGUCGUGUUGGGAGCCCACUACAUGCUCAAUUUCUGCAAGGGCCUCCUGGCUGAUGUGCCGGUGAUGCACAAGUCUGAGUACGAAGCCGUGCGACAAGGCAUCCUGCUCAACGGCAGAAACCACCUGUUUCAACUGGCCGCGAUGGAGCUUUCCCUCCUGGACGACAUACUCUACGCCAAGGCGGCAGUCAUCCACACCUGGCACGGCUUGUGCAUCCGUAUCAUCGCGCCGCUCUCUGUGGUCGCAGUGUUCGUGCUGUUCCAGCUCAGCAGCAAGGACGCCUAUGGCAGAGCUGACGUCGCCGUCACCUACAUCCUGCUUGUCGGAGCCAUGACCAGGGAUUUGGAUUUCGUCCGGAAAAUUCGAAUUGCGUCCGAAUUUCGCCCAUUUCGGUCAGGACCGGUAAGACAAUUUCCCGGAAGAAAUCUACUAAACAUUGGAGCUUGCGUCGUCUCUCAGUGUGGCAGGGUCUUCCUGGGCGUGCGCGUCCUACCAUGCUCGAGGAUGGCACCGGCUCUGCGGCACAGUGGUGCGCCUCCGCCAGAUAUUCAAGGCUGGAGCAAGGAGGAGUGCCUGUCUGGACACGCUUGGGCAGUACAACCUACUGGACCUCUGCACCGACGCCAGAAAGGACGACCACUUGAGAGGCAAGAUCGCCAAGAUGAUCGGACUUGGGGACCGGUGGCAGAAGCUGCACUACUCCGGCACCGCCCCCAUCUCCGACGGCAUCAAGGCUCUCGUGCUGGGAGAGAUCUGGAAGAGGAAAGUCGAUGACCUGAGGAAUGCGCUGGGAAGGUGGAUCCUCAAGGAGAAAGGGAUGUACGAGGAUCUCACGCGGAUAGCCGAUGACACCGAGCUGGACCGUAGCAUCAUCGUGUGGCACAUUGCCACCGAUCUCUACCUCUCCCUGUGCCCUGACCCUCAAGAGGAGGUCCGGGACAACAUAAGGGUGCUCUCCAACCACAUGCUCUUCCUCAUGGUGGUGCAUCCCUACCUGUUGCCCGGAGUUGUUCGCAACGGCCGUUACAAGGAGAACUUGAAGUACUAUGAUAUGGUGUGGUGGGUUAAUUUGAGGUCCACCAAGGAAAGCACCAUGAAACUGUCCAGAUCGGAGAUCAUCAACAAGAUAGCCGAGUGGCAACUCCCGGCUGAUUCGAGGCACAAGUACAUUUACGGCAUCGGCGAUGAAGCUGCUGACGACGUCGAUGACAGGCCAGUCUAUGCUGACGGAUGGGCUCGCCGGGAUGCUGUUCGGCAACAGGUGGUGCUUGCCUGCCGCUGACAUGCUGGAGGUGAUCGCAGGCGUGUGGGUGGAGAUGCUGUGCUACGCGAGCCACCACUGCGGCGCGGAGUCUCACGCCAAGAAGCUAAGCACCGGAGGAGAGUUCAUGAAUGCCAUCUGGCUUAUCAUAGGGCACGCCACGGACUACGACAGAUGGGCCCCAUCUGCUGAGGGCUUCACGGGGGGUUUAGAGCUCAGCAACCCUCCGCGCAAGCAGAAGCUCCCUGCCAGAUGGAUGCAGCCAGAGGCGGACGUAGUUUUUGACGUUGAAGCUCACCAAACACCGAGCACUUCAUGUGCAGAAAGACGUCACCAAUAAAAUCAAUACAUCAUGUAUGGAUUGAAUCAUAUGAGCCAUCAUUCUGCAAAUAUGGUGUUUGCAAAUUUCGACCUGAUGGAUAUCAAGACAGAAUUGUAGCCCCUACUGUAGUGCUGAUUAUAUUAAUGCCAUUUCUUGCCGGAUUGUUCACGAUGGAUGGUUCAAAAUUGUAGUCCAACAUUGUCAUGUAACUGGAGUUACCAAUAUCUUGCUGGUAUGUAUGUUUGUAUGAAUGUAGUCGACAGGCCUGUAGCCUGGGCUUGAAUUCACAGCUAUGUGAACUAUACUGGUCAAAAAGUUGAGAUGAUGUUUUUCUUAUAGUAUAUGGAUUUUUUCUUGUCUA
RNA transcript from Lolium perenne, 2747 nucleotides. RefSeq lists it as uncharacterized. NCBI's taxonomy places the organism in Eukaryota, Viridiplantae, Streptophyta, Magnoliopsida, Poales, Poaceae. The record is from RefSeq and is a predicted model, not a curated record.